GCAGCAGAAAACCCUGGUAAACAAGCAAAAAUGGCCGCGGUCAACUUUACCAAUCUGACAACGGAGAGGAGGAACAACCACCGCAAUCGUGAGCAUUAGCACAACGUUUCAGUGUUGCAGGAGAAUGAAUCUGCUGCCUGUUCCUUUUACCAAAAACAUCCAGGACUGUUUAAACCCAUAUACACUUCAAAACAUCCACAACAUCUUCAGAGGAGAAAAUCACAGAGAACUGCAGAAGAGCUGUGCAGACACUUGGCAGCUCAUCGCAGCUUUGUGAGCCGGUGCUGGAGAUACCAUCACAAUGCAAAUACAGACUUGCUGUCUGUGAUGCAUAACUAUGCAAACUACAAUACAAAAAGCUAAAAUCAGCAAUCAUGUAAUGAAAUCACAGUUUUCUGAUAUUCUUGCUCAGAUUUCAGCAGUUGGACAUUUCUUUAGGUGUGUGUGCGUACCUUUGCUUGUCCCUUAGUGUACCCCAGGCCAACUGUGUGUGGACUGAUGACCCCUUUGGAUGUAGGUAUGUCUGUGUGGCCUCUGGGACUUGUGGGGAGUCUGUCUGCCACCCAACGUGAUCAUGAAACCUUGGUACACUCGUUAGGAUACUGGAGCUUGUUGUCUGUGUAAUCUGCUGUGAUGUACUCUAAAAAAAGAGACAGAAAAAAUGGAAAUUUAGCAUGGCAAUCUGACGUGAAUCAGAAAUGCACUGUCUUCUUGUUCAUAGCUAAAUAUUUAGACCACACAUCUUUCAAAAAAAUGUGCCUGCUGCACACAUCUUUAUGUUUCUCGUGUUAUUGCAUAGCAUAUAUAUAUAUAUAUAUAUAUAUAUAUAUAUAUAUAUAUAUGUAUAUAUGUAUAUGUGUUAAUCCGUUCGUUUGCAGUCAGUGCUAUGAUUAAACAACACCACCUGAACACUGGCCGAGCUGUUUAGAUCAAUUGUCAAUACUUUAGCAUACUUCUGGCUUACUACAUCGAUAAAAAAUCACCACGUAAAAAAGAAGUUUUACGCAGAGGUGGAUAAGAAAGUGGAAAGAGGAUAACAACAGCUGUGUUAGCCGGGAAGUGAGCAGAGUCUUAUAAAGCUCAGAUCCUGCAACAAAGCGGAUUUUACAUUCAUUAGACCGUCUCGAACCAUGUUAGCCGAGGCUUACAGUUCAGCUACAGCCAGCCUCCACAGAACUAAUGCAUCCAUAGCAGCUCAAAAGUUGUUUUCAAACAAAUAAAAAAGACAAUAAAUGAAGCGUA
Long non-coding RNA from Labrus bergylta (ballan wrasse), 1242 nucleotides. RefSeq lists it as uncharacterized. NCBI's taxonomy places the organism in Eukaryota, Metazoa, Chordata, Actinopteri, Labriformes, Labridae. The record is from RefSeq and is a predicted model, not a curated record.